CCUACGGGAGGCAGCAGUGAGGAAUAUUGGUCAAUGGCCGGAAGGCUGAACCAGCCAUGCCGCGUGAAGGUCAGUGCCCUAUGGGCGUUAAACUUCUUUUGUGCGGGAGCAAUAAUGGUCACGUGUGGCCAGACGAGAGUACCGUACGAAUAAGCAUCGGCUAACUCCGUGCCAGCAGCCGCGGUAAUACGGGGGAUGCAAGCGUUAUCCGGAUUUAUUGGGUUUAUAGGGUGCGUAGGCUGGGAGGUAAGUCAGCGGUGAAAUGCCCCCGCUCAACGGGGUGAAGUGCCAUUGAUACUGCCUGGCUGGAAUGCGGAUGCGGUGGGAGGAAUGUGUGGUGUAGCGGUGAAAUGCAUAGAUAUCACACAGAACACCGAUUGCGAAGGCAUCUCACGAAUCCGCGAUUGACGCUGAUGCACGAAAGCGUGGGUAUCAAACAGGAUUAGAUACCCUUGUAGUC
RNAcentral lists this ribosomal RNA (460 nucleotides) under uncultured bacterium. RNAcentral's name for it is "partial 16S ribosomal RNA". It matches the Rfam family "Bacterial small subunit ribosomal RNA", at positions 338 to 795 of the family's 1533-position model. The record is from RNAcentral.